Molecule: long non-coding RNA, 2640 nt
Organism: Cyprinus carpio (common carp)
Lineage: Eukaryota; Metazoa; Chordata; Actinopteri; Cypriniformes; Cyprinidae
Exons: 5
Source: RefSeq, a predicted model, not a curated record
GGGGUCGUUGGUGUGGAAGCUGGAAUCCAUGACCAAACGCCCAUCGAACACCAAACAGGCAUCAUUGAUGGCCUUGAAGGCAUCGUAGUCAACACUUUUAUGAGAGAAGCUGAAGAACACCUAAGAAAAUCGAAUGCAAGUAGUUUCACUCACCGCACACUCCAGCUGUAGAGUCUGAGUGUCAGUGGUGAAGGUCACUGAAGUCACGGGAUCAGUGUGUCGUCCAUCAUUGAUUUGAGUCAGCAGGCAGUCGUGAUGCACGUGAACCUCCUCUUUUUCUACAGCCUGUUUCACUGCGUGCUCCACUGAACCAUUGGGGAAACAGGAAGUUGGGUUGUCUUCGGGAGGAUGGACCACAUGAAUCCGGCGGCCACUGACACCAAGACACAUGAGCGUCUCCACGCAGGGCUGAAUAGCAAGAGAAGGUCUCGCUCAAGCCCUGUCCAUGGUGCUGAAGCACAGCCAGCGCCGCACAACUCGGAUGUUUUCAACCACAACAGGAUUUCUGCCAAAACUAUUAUCAGGCCGGUGCAGAGGAUCAGAUAGUCAUACUUCACGUUACCAUUCUCCAUCAGCUCCACGUGUUUGGCCUCGCGGUCGAUGGCCUUCAUCUUACCCGUCACCACGCUGAUCCAGGAGCGCAGAGACAGCCGAGCUUGAUCCUGAUCGCUGUAGCAGUGACUGUGGAGGAACAGAUUCUGCAUCAGAUUUACACAGCUAUGAAAAGAGCAGCCAGAAGGACAUUGGUGUCUUCACUGUAAGUGGGUUUAGUUUCUCAAUGCUCAAGGUUAACUGACUCUUUCACUGAGGUGCUCAGAAUCAAGGUUUCGUGUGGAAGCUCUGAUACGGUGUGUCGUAUCAGUCGUUUGGUUCGGUGGAUUGGAUUAGAUGUGCCAGUCAUGCAGAACCACUAACAGACAUGAUAAAACAGACGUUCCUGCUUUUCAUCACGAGUGCCAGGAAGUAAUGCUUUCGGUGAAGCUGCACUAAAGCUGCCGCUCUCAAAACACUGAAACAUGAGGUAAGAGGCCAGAAUCUCUUGAGAGACCAAAAUAUGUCACCCAAAAAAUCAACAUUUAAUCUUGAUUUAUUCAUUCCAUCCCAUUAUUGUUGUUCUAAGAUGUUCUAAGGAGCUUUUGAUUCUCUUGCUUUAUAUUUCCAAAAAUGAAGAAAUCCACCACACUGCAAAUUAUUUUCUUACUCAUUGUUGUUUUUUUUUCCAGUAAAAAUAUCUUAACUGUCUUAAAUAAAGAUGCAUUUACUUGAGAAGCAAAUCACUUGAGAUAUUAAGUCUUGAUUUUCUCAAAUUAUCAGAAUUAAGUGAGUUAAUGUUUAAAACAAGAAAUCUUUCAGUUUAAAGUAUAAACUCAAUUUACCCCCCCCCCCAGAAAAUAAGACUUAAUAAAAUUAAGUAAGUAAUGCUUAAAACAAACAAAAUUCUGUUUUCUGAAAAAAUAAGGCAAGUUUUCUUUCUCAAGAAAAUGUACCAGGUUUUAUAUUUUUUAGACAUUUGUCAUAGAAGUAAAAAAUAAUAGGUUAGAAAUCUUUAAUAUAAUAUGAAAUUAUUAUAAUUGAAAAAAUAAUAAAUUAUAAAAUCAUGUUUGCUCUGUAUAAAAGCAGUCCAAAAUUAUAACUCUCAAAUCUCAUUUACAGUCAUAUUUUUCAAGCUUUCAGCAUUUUGAGCCGUCAACAACAUCAAACCUAAAGCACAGUGAAUUUGACAGAAGUGUAAAUGAGAUUUGAGUUCCAAAGGAGGCGAAGAUCAUCAGUGAGUAACGGCAUACUGUAAAAAAAUCACUGCAUUGACAAGCUUUUGUUGCAUUUUUUUUUUUUUGUUCUUUUAAUAGUAAACUUGACUGCUAAGAAAUUAUUAAUAAUGUUUAUAAUAAAUUGCAACAGUCAAGCCUUCCAGUCUGAACUCCACUGAGAGACCCGGACAGCUUCAGUGCUUUAGCACUUCACAUCUGUAUGAUAGAAUGGAAAUAAAGCGGACUUUCCCUCUUUCAUGGAGUGGAAAUAUGCUGCAUUGGAGUCUGAAUGCCUCUCGUUUGUAAUGCAUCUCUCACCUUGUAGCCAGAAAUCUCAUGUUGUCAUCAGAGCAGUGAUCUGGAAGGCCGUGAGUGGAGAUGAGAGUGAGAUUGUUGAAUCUGAGAUGAGGACUGGUGGGAAAGAGAAAUGCAGACGAGUCAGAGUCAAAUAAUGCCAUUGACCCUUUUUCUUUCAGUCGAGUUUCUGCAUCUUGACUUUACACACAGAAUCCCUGAUAUUAAUACCGUUGAUCGAACAUGUCUCAGAAUUGAUUUCAGAAAUGAAUACCAUUGAAUGAAGAGAGGACAGUAGGGACGCCUGAACAAAAGCAUGCAGGGAGUGUGAGGUUAUUCUGCAAACACUCGAUGGACAGAUGCUGAAAUCCCUUAAUUUCCAGUGCAGCGCUGGCCUGCAUUAAAGUGCUUUCUUCUCCAACCAUCACAGUAAAAGCCUUUCCUUUUGUUUUGUCUUUUUUCCCCUCUUGUUUUGUUUCCUGUGUGUAGUGGUCUCCCCCCGUCGCCCUCCCUCCGUCCCCUCAGGAGUGUAAAAAGGUCUCUUGUCAUGUAAAUGUGCUGGAAAGACAUGAUCUCUAUCUGUGGCAGGAGAGGAAAU